Long non-coding RNA from Homo sapiens (human), 2128 nucleotides. Ensembl annotates it as firre intergenic repeating RNA element. Its record names the gene FIRRE. The record is from Ensembl. Lineage: Eukaryota; Metazoa; Chordata; Mammalia; Primates; Hominidae.
UUUUUUUUUUUUUUUUUUUUGAGACAGAGUCUCACUCAUUCUGUCGCCCAGGCUGGAGUGCAGUGGCGUGAUCUCAGCUCACUGCAACCUCCACCUCCCGGAUUCAAGCGAUUCUCCUGCCUCAGCCUCCUGAGUAGCUGGGACUACAGGCCCUCCCUCCGUUGCCCAGGUGGGAGUGCAGUGGUGUGAUGUCAGUUCACUGCAACCUUGGCCUCCCGGAUUCAAGCGAUUCUCCUGCCUUAACCUUCCGAACAUGGAUCCCUGAGGUCGGUCCCCAAUACGACAAGACAAUUUGAUAUCAUAAUAGAACACUGCAGAAACAAUGCUGAGUGAAGAAGAGUAGAAAUGGGAAGACUUGGUUGAGCGGAAACUGAGUUCUUGAAAAGAGGAGAUGCUUGAUGAGGAUGGAGUCUUGCUCUGUCGCCCAGCCUGGAGUGCAGCAGCACGAUCUCAGCUCACUGCAUCCUCCGUCUCCCAGGUUGAAGGGAUUCUCUUGUCUCAGCCUCCCGAACAACUGGGACUAAAGGCAUGGAUCCCUGAGGUCUGCCCCAGUACUAUAAGACAAUUUGAUGUAAGAAAACACAGCAGAUAUAAUACUGAGUGAAGAAGAGUAUAAAUGAGAAGAUUGGUUGUGCAGAUACUGAGUUCAUGAAAAGAGGAGAUGAUUGAUGAGGCCAGGUGCGGUGACUCAUGCCUGUAAUCCCUGCACUUUGGGAGGCUGCGGCGGGCGGAUCACCUGAGGUCAGGAGUUCGAGACCAGCCUGGGAGACAGAGCAUGGAAACCUAAGGUCUGUACCCAAAACUACAGGACUAUUUGACAUCAUAAUAAAACACUGCAGAUAUGAUGCUGAGUAAGAGUAGAAAUGGGAAGACUUGGUUGUGCAGUAACUGAGUUCUUGAAAAGAGGAGAUGCUUGAUGAGGGCAUGGAUCACUAAGGUCUGUUCCCAAUACAAGAAGACUCUUUGACAUCAUAAUAAAAUACUGCAGAUACGAUGCUGAGUGAAAAAGAGUAGAAAUGGGAAGACUUGGUUGUGCAGAAACUGAGUUCUUAAAGAGAGGAGAUACUUUAUGAGGGUCUUUAGAAAAUAACUUAACUCUUUCAAGCAAUUGCCAAUCAGAAAAUCUUGGAAUCCUCCUAUGACCUGUAAGCACCCACUUUCCCCUGCUUUAAGUCGUCCUGCCCUUCUAGACCAAACCAAUGGAUACCUCACAUGUAUUGAUUGAUGUCUUAUGUCUCUCUAAAACAUAGAAAAGAAAGCUGUAGCCCAACCACCUUGAGCACAUGUUCUCAGGACCUCUUGAGACCAUGCCUUGGGCCAUGGCUACUCAUAUUUGGCUUAGAAUAAACCUCUUCACAUAUGUUACAGUUUGGCUUUUUUAGUCAAUAUUAAUUGGCACCCUACAUAUGGGGCCUCAGAGAAGACUCAGAACCCUGAAAGAGUCACCCAAACCCAGAGCUAAGGUACCAGCAGGGGCCCAUUGAAAGCCCCCCAACUCCAAGCUUCUUCUUGAGUGAAACUGGUAAGUCCUCCUCAGCCCUGAACCUCCUGCUCAGUUGACAGUCUUCUGCUUUAUUCUGAGCUGGUUCUUUUCCUAGGAAGUUGUUGUUCAGGAUCCUAAUUUUGAUUCAGAAAGCAUUCUGAAGGAUCUUUUCCAUUGCCUCUUUCUCCCCAAAUUAAUCUCACUUGGCUUGUUUGUGCAUUUGCUUGAGAAACUGAACUGUCCCUUGUGUGAAUCAACGAGAGACUGAACUUCUCAGCUCCACUCCAUUGAAACGCAGACUACAGUUUGGUUCCUCCCUUAAAGAAAAUUAAAAAAAGGGAAACAAAUAAUCAAAGAAUGAGGAGAUACAAAGAUAACAACCCCCUUUUGGGCACGUUGUUUGGUUUUAUGAUGCCUCUACUUGCAAGCAUUUGUGUAAAUGGAAAAGUUUGAAGGCAUGCCAGGUUUUCUAAUACUCCAGCUGGUUACAUAUUAUGGUCUAUUCUUGGGCACAUUUUAAACUUGUGGCUAAAUUACAUCAAGAAAAAUUCAGAGGUCAAAAGUCAACCUGCGAAUAUAGAGUCUUUAAAGUUUUAUGUGUAUUUCUCUAUUUUCUUUUCUGCCUGCUUUAAAUCUGUUGUUACU